RNAcentral lists this ribosomal RNA (677 nucleotides) under Zygaena nocturna meinekei. Its description in RNAcentral is "partial 16S ribosomal RNA". The stretch from base 396 to 554 matches the Rfam family "Bacterial large subunit ribosomal RNA", at positions 2473 to 2632 of the family's 2925-position model. Lineage: Eukaryota; Metazoa; Arthropoda; Insecta; Lepidoptera; Zygaenidae. The record is from RNAcentral.
GUCUUUUUGAAAUAAUAAUAAUUUAAAGUCUAAUCUGCCCACUGAUAGGUUAUAUUAAAGGGCUGCAGUAUUUUGACUGUACAAAGGUAGCAUAAUCAUUAGUCUCUUAAUUGGUGACUUGUAUGAAUGAUUGGAUGAAAUAUAAGCUGUUUCUUAUUUAUUUAUAGAAUUUAAUUUUUUCAUUAAAAAGUGAAAAUAAAUUUAAAAGACGAGAAGACCCCAUAGAGUUUUAUAUAUGAAAUAAUUUAAUAAUUAUGUUUAAGAGAAUUAAUUAAAAUAAUUUAAUAUAUUUUAUUGGGGUGAUAAAAAAAUUAAGAAAACUUUUUUAUAAUUUUUCCAUAAAUAAGUGAAUAAAUGAUCCAUUAUUAUUGAUUAAAAGAAAAAAUUACCUUGGGGAUAACAGCGUAAUUUUUUCUUUUAGUUCAAAUAGGAGAAAGAGUUUGCGACCUCGAUGUUGGAUUAAGAUAAAAUUUAAAUGCAAAAGUUUAAAAUUUUGAUCUGUUCGAUCAUUAAAAUCUUACAUGAUCUGAGUUCAAACCGGUGUAAGCCAGGUUGGUUUCUAUCUUUAAAUAAAUUAAAUAUUUUAGUACGAAAGGAUUGAAUAUUUAAAAUAAUUUUUAAUUUUAGAAUUUUAUUAAUUUGAUUAUAGAAUUAAAAUUUUUAUUUUAUUAAUAUAU